RNAcentral lists this transfer RNA (67 nucleotides) under Marmota monax (woodchuck). RNAcentral's name for it is "tRNA.Thr". The record is from RNAcentral. Lineage: Eukaryota; Metazoa; Chordata; Mammalia; Rodentia; Sciuridae.
GGCAGUGGGUCAGUGGUAGAGCGCUUGCUUGGUAUGUAUGAGGCACUGGGUUCAAUCCUCAGCACCA